This 802-nucleotide ribosomal RNA is filed under the name uncultured bacterium. Its description in RNAcentral is "bacterial SSU rRNA". It matches the Rfam family "Bacterial small subunit ribosomal RNA", at positions 8 to 796 of the family's 1533-position model. The record is from RNAcentral.
AGAGUUUGAUCAUGGCUCAGGACGAACGCUGGCGGCGUGCUUAACACAUGCAAGUGGUGCGACGAACCAGGGCUUGCCCUGGGGCAAAGCCGCGAACGGGUGAGUAACACGUGAGUAAUCUGCCCCGAUGACUGGGACAACCCGAGGAAACUCGGGCUAAUACCGGAUGAUGAGCCAAGGUUUAAGCCUUGUCUCUAAAGGAAGCUUCGGCCUCCGCAUUGGGAGGAGCUCGCGGCCCAUUAGCUUGUUGGUGAGGUAACGGCUCACCAAGGCGACGAUGGGUAGCUGGUCUGAGAGGACGAUCAGCCACACUGGGACUGAGACACGGCCCAGACUCCUACGGGAGGCAGCAGUGGGGAAUCUUGCGCAAUGCGCGAAAGCGUGACGCAGCAACGCCGCGUGGGGGAAGACGGCCUUAGGGUUGUAAACCCCUUUCAGGAGGGACGAAGGUUCACCGGUGAAUAGCCGUGUGGAUUGACGGUACCUCCACAAGAAGCACCGGCUAACUACGUGCCAGCAGCCGCGGUAAUACGUAGGGUGCAAGCGUUGUCCGGAAUCAUUGGGCGUAAAGCGCGCGUAGGUGGUCAUGUAAGUCCGCUGUGAAAGUCAAAGGCUCAACCUUUGAAAGCCGGUGGAUACUGCAUGACUAGAGUACGGAAGAGGCGAGUGGAAUUCCUGGUGUAGCGGUGGAAUGCGCAGAUAUCAGGAGGAACACCAAUAGCGAAGGCAGCUCGCUGGGACGUUACUGACACUGAGGCGCGAAAGCGUGGGGAGCGAACAGGAUUAGAUACCCUAGUAGUCC